CACUCUAGAGAGACUGCCAGGGAUAACCUGGAGGAAGGUGGGGAUGACGUCAAAUCAUCAUGCCCCUUAUGCUUAGGGCUACACACGUGCUACAAUGGGUAGUACAGAGGGUUGCCAAGCCGUAAGGUGGAGCUAAUCCCUUAAAGCUACUCUCAGUUCGGAUUGUAGGCUGAAACUCGCCUACAUGAAGCUGGAGUUACUAGUAAUCGCAGAUCAGAAUGCUGCGGUGAAUGCGUUCCCGGGUCUUGUACACCCCGCCCGUCACACCACGGGAGUUGGAGACGCCCGAAGCCGAUUAUCUAACCUUUUGGAAGAAGUCGUCGAAGGUGGAAUCAAUAACUGGGGUGAAGUCGUAACAAGGUAGCCGUAUCGGAAGGUGCGGCUGGAUCACCUCCUUUCUAAGGAGA
RNAcentral lists this ribosomal RNA (407 nucleotides) under Clostridioides difficile. RNAcentral describes it as "bacterial SSU rRNA". It matches the Rfam family "Bacterial small subunit ribosomal RNA", at positions 1136 to 1533 of the family's 1533-position model. Lineage: Bacteria; Bacillati; Bacillota; Clostridia; Peptostreptococcales; Peptostreptococcaceae. The record is from RNAcentral.